RNAcentral lists this ribosomal RNA (497 nucleotides) under uncultured bacterium. Its description in RNAcentral is "partial 16S ribosomal RNA". It matches the Rfam family "Bacterial small subunit ribosomal RNA", at positions 28 to 507 of the family's 1533-position model. The record is from RNAcentral.
GAUGAACGCUGGCGGCGUGCCUAAUACAUGCAAGUCGAGCGAACGGACGAGAAGCUUGCUUCUCUGAUGUUAGCGGCGGACGGGUGAGUAACACGUGGAUAACCUACCUAUAAGACUGGGGUAACUUCGGGAAACCGGAGCUAAUACCGGAUGAUAUUUUGAACCGCAUGGUUCAAAAGUGAAAGACGGUCUUGCUGUCACUUAUAGAUGGAUCAGCGCUGCAUUAGCUAGUUGGUAAGGUAACGGCUUACCAAGGCAACGAUGCAUAGCCGACCUGAGAGGGUGAUCGGCCACACUGGAACUGAGACACGGUCCAGACUCCUACGGGAGGCAGCAGUAGGGAAUCUUCCGCAAUGGGCGAAAGCCUGACGGAGCAACGCCGCGUGAGUGAUGAAGGUCUUCGGAUCGUAAAACUCUGUUAUUAGGGAAGAACAUAUGUGUAAGUAACUGUGCACAUCUUGACGGUACCUAAUCAGAAAGCCACGGCUAACUACGUG